GCUACGGGCGGCAGCAGUGAGGAAUAUUGGUCAAUGGGCGCGAGCCUGAACCAGCCAAGUAGCGUGAAGGAUGACUGCCCUACGGGUUGUAAACUUCUUUUAUAAAAGAAUAAAGUGAGGCACGUGUGCCUUUUUGUAUGUACUUUAUGCAUAAGGAUCGGCUAACUCCGUGCCAGCAGCCGCGGUACUCCGGAGGAUCCGAGCGUUAUCCGGAUUUAUUGGGUUUAAAGGGAGAGUAGAUGGGUUGUUAAGUCAGUUGUGAAAGUUUGCGGCUCAACCGUUAAAUUGCAAUUGAAACUGGCAGCCUUGAGUACAGGUGAGGUAGGCGGAAUUCGUGGUGUAGCGGUGAAAUGCUGAGAUAUCACGAAGAACUCCGAUUGCGAAGGCAGCUUACUAAACUGCCACUGACAUUGAUGCUCGAAAGUGUGGGUAUCAAACAGGAUUAGAUACCCCUGUAGUC
Molecule: ribosomal RNA, 460 nt
Filed under: uncultured bacterium
Lineage: Bacteria
Description: partial 16S ribosomal RNA
Rfam family: Bacterial small subunit ribosomal RNA
Source: RNAcentral